GAUGAACGCUGGCGGCGUGCCUAACACAUGCAAGUCGAGCGGCAGCGAGGGGUGCUUGCACCCUGUCGGCGAGCGGCGGACGGCUGAGUAACGCGUGGGAACGUGCCCCAAAGUGAGGAAUAACUGCCCGAAAGGGUAGCUAAUACCGCAUAUUAUCUUCGGAUCAAAGGAUUUAUCCGCUUUGGGAGCGGCUCGCGUCGGAUUAGGUAGUUGGUGAGGUAAUGGCUCACCAAGCCGACGAUCCGUAGCUGGUCUGAGAGGAUGACCAGCCAGACUGGAACUGAGACACAGUCCAGACUCCUACGGGAGGCAGCAGUGAGGAAUCUUCCACAAUGGGCGAAAGCCUGAUGGAGCAACGCCGCGUGCAGGACGAAGGCCUUCGGGUUGUAAACUGCUUUUAUAAGUGAGGAAUAUGACGGUAACUGAUGAAUAAGGAUCGGCUAACUACGUG
This 451-nucleotide ribosomal RNA is filed under the name uncultured bacterium. Its description in RNAcentral is "partial 16S ribosomal RNA". It matches the Rfam family "Bacterial small subunit ribosomal RNA", at positions 28 to 507 of the family's 1533-position model. The record is from RNAcentral.